RNAcentral lists this transfer RNA (72 nucleotides) under Phrynosoma platyrhinos (Desert horned lizard). RNAcentral describes it as "tRNA-OTHER". The record is from RNAcentral. Lineage: Eukaryota; Metazoa; Chordata; Lepidosauria; Squamata; Phrynosomatidae.
GCCAGUGUGGUGUAAUGGUUUGAGUUCUGGCCUAUAACUCUGGAGACCAGGGUUCAAAUCCCCACUCAGCCA